RNAcentral lists this ribosomal RNA (921 nucleotides) under Triticum aestivum (bread wheat). Its description in RNAcentral is "partial small subunit ribosomal RNA". Lineage: Eukaryota; Viridiplantae; Streptophyta; Magnoliopsida; Poales; Poaceae. The record is from RNAcentral.
AUGGAGAUCACGAGCAGCACGAUGGUGAAGCCGGCGUACGCUGUGCCGCACCCGCUCACCGGCGACAAGGUCUCGCUGACCGUCUUCGACCGCGCCGCUGUGGACACCUUCGUCCCCACUGUGCUCGCCUACCGCGCGCCGGCGCCGUCCAACGAUGCGCUCAGGGAGGGGCUCCUCAAGGCCGUCGCGGCGUACCCUCACCUGGCAGGCCGCUUCGCCCUCGACGAUCAAGGCCGGCGGUUCCUCGACGUCAACAACGAGGGCGUGCUCCUGAUCGAGGCUGCCGUCCCGGUCGACCUGGCGGACGUGCUCGUCGCCGCUUAUACGUUUUUUUUUUUUGCCUAUGCAGGUGAACAUUGGGGCGGCGCUGCUGCAGUGCAGAUCCAGCUCAACAGGUACAGGUGCGGCGGUCUCGUGGUCGGCAUAUGCUCCCACCAUCAAGCCGCCGACGGCCACUCCAUGAGCAUGUUUUUCACCGCGUGGGCGUCCGCUGUACGCGAGCGAAAGGACUUCACCACGCCGGCCCCAUUCCUCGAUCGUGCGAGAACCACCGUGCCUCGAAGCACGCCGACGCCGGUGUUCGACCACCGGUCACGGGAGUUCACGUGUGGAGACGGGGACACCUAUGCCGUCGUCCCCAUGGACAGGAUCAAAAACCUCACGGUGCACUUCACGGCCGAGUUCGUCGCCGACCUCAAAGCCCGUGUCGGCGCCCGCUGCAGCAGGUUCCAGUGCCUGCUCGCCCACGUCUGGAAGAAAAUCACGGCGGCGCGGGACCUGAAGCCGGAGGAGUUCACCAAGGUGAGGGUGGCCGUCCGCGACGUCCUGAACUCGAGCUACGGCAGCGUGGUCGGCGUCAUCCGCGACGCCGUGGCGCGCAUCGACGACGAGUACGUGCAGUCCUUCGUGGACUUCGGCUGA